Long non-coding RNA from Gymnodraco acuticeps, 1080 nucleotides. RefSeq lists it as uncharacterized. NCBI's taxonomy places the organism in Eukaryota, Metazoa, Chordata, Actinopteri, Perciformes, Bathydraconidae. The record is from RefSeq and is a predicted model, not a curated record. The transcript has 3 exons.
GCACCUAACUAGAUCAUGAAAAUCCCAAAAAUCUCCGGGGGUAUCCCCCGAACCCCCCUAACUUGUUUGGACCUCGGUAUUUAGGAAAUCCUGGAUACGGCCCUGAUGACAGGAGAGUAGUGUGCAUUAGACAUGCUCAAGAACAAAUAUAGAGAAGACAUUCAAGGAGAGAGAGAGACAAAACACAGAUUCAACGUGUCAGGAUGGAACCCUUCUCCUUUUCUCUGUAAACAGAAUCUACCUAUGGGUACACAUAAAUAACCUGAACCUGAACUGAACAGCAUUCCAUAAGGAGGGUCAGGAACUCACGCUUGGGACCACCAGUGUCCCCUCCAUCCUCAGUUUGUCCCUCAUCAUCAGUGAACUUAACUGACGUCGAAUGAGAGGGGUCAAAUGAGGCACAUUUGAAGCCGCGGAUUGCUCCAUCCCAUACAUUGGCUCUAUUCAUAUUGAACCUGCUGCAAGAUGUAUUUGUUAUUUUUGCAGAGAGUUCUGCAACAAUGUCCUCCGCAGUCAGGUAUGCUGUGCUGGGAAAGACAAAGUGAUGUUUUGUAAUAUUAAAUGAUGAAGCUAGUAAUAAGAUUUACAGUAUAGAUAGAACAAUUAAGUGGUAACAGUAACAAUUAAUACCUUUGCUCCAUUUUGUCUUCUGGCUCAGACUGGCUAUCAAUAAUGAUAGGUGCAUACACAAUUAUGUAGUUGCUGCAGUGAGAAGACAGAUGAAUAAUUACUUUCAAAUACAUCAUACAGUAUAUGCAUGACAGUCAUAUUUACAAAAAAUGCAAUGAUGUCGAUCCUCUUCCUGUUUUUUUAAUACAUUGGGUUCUAAACUGACAACAGCACUUUUGUCAUACUCCUGCACAAUCCUUGUAAACAUUUUAAAUGGAUGCAAGAAACAAUAUCUGAUCUUUGAAAAAUAUUUGUGGGUGUUUUUUGUAUCGUCUUCACUAAGAUGUCAGAUGUUGUGGGUGUCAUUUGGAAAUGUAUGAAAGUAUAAUUGUUCUGCUUCCUGGCAAUGUUACCCACUGUGAUUGGAGGCUAUACAAACAAACAAAUGUACAAAUAAAGAUACACACCACA